AAGAGUAAAGCUACCUAGACCACUAAAAUUGCUUACUAAAAUCUCUUUAAUUCAUUCUUUGGUUUCAAAGGAGAGUAAAUGCAGCAGCAGGAGGGGAUGCCCUGCAAGAAAACAUGUAGAGAGGAGCUUGGAGGAUCCUAGCAUGUUAGUUGUGGCUUAUGAAGAGGAACACAAUCACUCCAAAAUUGCAUUUCAAUCUCCCAGCAUGAUGCUUCAUAUUUAACAACCAAAUCAAACCAAAGGACAACAGUAUUUUCCAAGCUGGAACUGGUCGUGCACCUGCAAAAUUUUCUAAUAGGCGCGGUGCGUGGGAAAGAACCAACGCAGUUGUUCAGCUGGAACUUCUGCAAACGAGAAGGGCGAGAAAAUCCAUUGAAAAACAACACCAAUGUAGAAAUUAAAGUUCAAAGAUGAUCCAAAAAGCGCAGAUAAAAAAAAAACAGCAACCAAAUUUAAAAAUGGAUCAACACAAGCUCACGAAAACCACAGACGAAGCUAUUCGAAUGAAAAGCUCCAAGAGAAGCAACCAAGAACCCACCACUCUAAACUACAGAAACAGGGGAAAGGCAGAGAAAGAUAAGAAAAAGAAGCGAAGGCAAUACAAAAACAAAUGAAAGGGCUGGAAAGAAGUAAGGGGACAACUAGAUCCAAAAUGGAUGAAGCUGGCGGCUUAUCACCAAAAUAGUAAGACCUUAAUAUAUGGAUGGAUGUGAAUUAUUUCUUGUAUGCGAUGUUACUUCUAUUACUUUAUUUUAGACUUCUUCCUCAACAUUUAGGAAUUCAAUUUUCAUGAAGCUAUGUAUAUUGACAACUGAGGUGAAAUUCAAUAUUCCACCUAAUGCUCAGAAA
Populus trichocarpa (black cottonwood) is the source of this 849-nucleotide RNA transcript. RefSeq lists it as uncharacterized. Lineage: Eukaryota; Viridiplantae; Streptophyta; Magnoliopsida; Malpighiales; Salicaceae. The transcript has 2 exons. The record is from RefSeq and is a predicted model, not a curated record.